Molecule: ribosomal RNA, 870 nt
Filed under: uncultured Thermoanaerobacterium sp.
Lineage: Bacteria; Bacillati; Bacillota; Clostridia; Thermoanaerobacterales; Thermoanaerobacteraceae
Description: bacterial SSU rRNA
Rfam family: Bacterial small subunit ribosomal RNA
Source: RNAcentral
UUAUCCUCAUACUUAUUUACUGUAAAGUAACAGUACGCAGGCGGUUAUUUAAGUCAUAUGUGAAAUCCUCGGGCUCACCGAGGGUAUGCUUCUGAAACUAAUUAGCUUGAGUCAAGGAGAAGAGAGCGUAAUUCCUGGUGUAGCGGUGAAUUGCUUAGAGAUCAAGAACAAUACCCGUGGCGAAAGCUGCUCUCUGGACUUGAACUGACGCUGAUGUGCGAAAGCGUGGGGAGCAAACAGGAAUAUAUACCCUGGUAGUCCACGCCGUAAACAAUGGAUACUAGGUGUGGGUGAUAAUUCAUCCUUGCCGGAGUAAACGCAAUAAGUAUCCCGCCUGGGGAGUACGGCCGCAAGGAUGAAAAUCAAUGGAAUUGACGGGGGGUCCGCCCAACCAGCGGAGCAUGUGGUGUAAUUAUAAGAAACGCGAAGAACCUUACCAGGGCUUGACAUCCACAGAAUCGGGUAGAAAUACCUGAGUGCCUUCUAUGAAGGAACUGUGAGACAGGUGGUGCAUGGUUGUAGUCAGCUGGUGUCGUGAGAUGUUGGGUUAAGUCCCGCAACGAGCACAACCCCUGUUGGUAGUUACCAGCGUGGAAAGACGGGGACUCUACCGAGACUGCCGUGGAAAACACGGAGGAAGGCGGGGAUGACGUCAAAUCAUCAUGCCCUAUAUGCCCUGGGCUACACUCGUGUUACAAUGGCCUGAACAGAGGGCAGCGAAGGAGCGAUCCGGAGCGAAUCCCAGAAAACAGGUCCCAGUUCAGAUUGCAGGCUGCAACCCGCUUGCAUGAAGACGUAUUUGCUAGUAAUCGCGGAUCAGCAUGCCGCGGUGAAUACGUUCCCGGGCCUUGUACACACCGCCCGUCACAC